AGCGAACGCUGGCGGCAGGCUUUACACAUGCAAGUCGAGCGGGCACUUUCGGGUGUCAGCGGCGGACGGGUGAGUAACGCGUGGGAACGUGCCCUCUGGUUCGGAAUAACUCCGGGAAACUUGAGCUAAUACCGGAUACGCCCUUUUGGGGAAAGGCUUGCUGCCGGAGGAUCGGCCCGCGUCUGAUUAGCUAGUUGGUGAGGUAACGGCUCACCAAGGCGACGAUCAGUAGCUGGUCUGAGAGGAUGAUCAGCCACACUGGGACUGAGACACGGCCCAGACUCCUACGGGAGGCAGCAGUGGGGAAUAUUGGACAAUGGGCGCAAGCCUGAUCCAGCCAUGCCGCGUGAGUGAUGAAGGCCUUAGGGUUGUAAAGCUCUUUUAUCCGGGACGAUAAUGACGGUACCGGAGGAAUAAGCCCCGGCUAACUUCGUG
This 435-nucleotide ribosomal RNA is filed under the name uncultured bacterium. RNAcentral's name for it is "partial 16S ribosomal RNA". It matches the Rfam family "Bacterial small subunit ribosomal RNA", at positions 29 to 507 of the family's 1533-position model. The record is from RNAcentral.